CCGCCCUUAGCUCAGCUGGAUAGAGCGUUGCCCUCCGGAGGCAAAGGCCAGAGGUUCGAAUCCUCUAGGGCGGGCCA
This 77-nucleotide transfer RNA is filed under the name Pseudomonadales bacterium. RNAcentral's name for it is "tRNA-Arg". It matches the Rfam family "tRNA". From Rfam's summary of the family: Transfer RNA (tRNA) molecules are approximately 80 nucleotides in length. Their secondary structure includes four short double-helical elements and three loops (D, anti-codon, and T loops). The record is from RNAcentral. RNAcentral also lists the same sequence under 1 other name. Lineage: Bacteria; Pseudomonadati; Pseudomonadota; Gammaproteobacteria; Pseudomonadales.